UCUACAAACCGGGACUCCCAAAGCUGGAGAUGCUGCAGAACCACCUGGAAGAUGUCGUGCACCGCACCCUCCCUGCUCUCGAGCAGCACCUGGAGGAGCAGGGAUUGAACCUCAAGGACUGCACUGCACACUGGUUCACACAGUGUUUUCUGGAUGUGGCUCCAUUCCCCCUGGCACUGAGGGUGUGGGACAUCUUCAUCCUGGAAGGAGAGCAUGUGCUCACCACAAUGGC
Ochotona curzoniae (black-lipped pika) is the source of this 232-nucleotide long non-coding RNA. RefSeq lists it as uncharacterized. The record is from RefSeq and is a predicted model, not a curated record. The transcript has 3 exons. NCBI's taxonomy places the organism in Eukaryota, Metazoa, Chordata, Mammalia, Lagomorpha, Ochotonidae.